AGCGUACACGGUGGAUGCCCUGGCAGUCAGAGGCGAUGAAGGACGUGCUAAUCUGCGAUAAGCGUCGGUAAGGUGAUAUGAACCGUUAUAACCGGCGAUUUCCGAAUGGGGAAACCCAGUGUGAUUCGUCACACUAUCAUUAACUGAAUCCAUAGGUUAAUGAGGCGAACCGGGGGAACUGAAACAUCUAAGUACCCCGAGGAAAAGAAAUCAACCGAGAUUCCCCCAGUAGCGGCGAGCGAACGGGGAGGAGCCCAGAGCCUGAAUCAGUGUGUGUGUUAGUGGAAGCGUCUGGAAAGGCGCGCGAUACAGGGUGACAGCCCCGUACACAAAAAUGCACAUGCUGUGAGCUCGAUGAGUAGGGCGGGACACGUGGUAUCCUGUCUGAAUAUGGGGGGACCAUCCUCCAAGGCUAAAUACUCCUGACUGACCGAUAGUGAACCAGUACCGUGAGGGAAAGGCGAAAAGAACCCCGGCGAGGGGAGUGAAAAAGAACCUGAAACCGUGUACGUACAAGCAGUGGGAGCCUCUUUAUGGGGUGACUGCGUACCUUUUGUAUAAUGGGUCAGCGACUUAUAUUCUGUAGCAAGGUUAACCGAAUAGGGGAGCCGAAGGGAAACCGAGUCUUAACUGGGCGUUAAGUUGCAGGGUAUAGACCCGAAACCCGGUGAUCUAGCCAUGGGCAGGUUGAAGGUUGGGUAACACUAACUGGAGGACCGAACCGACUAAUGUUGAAAAAUUAGCGGAUGACUUGUGGCUGGGGGUGAAAGGCCAAUCAAACCGGGAGAUAGCUGGUUCUCCCCGAAAGCUAUUUAGGUAGCGCCUCGUGAAUUCAUCUCCGGGGGUAGAGCACUGUUUCGGCAAGGGGGUCAUCCCGACUUACCAACCCGAUGCAAACUGCGAAUACCGGAGAAUGUUAUCACGGGAGACACACGGCGGGUGCUAACGUCCGUCGUGAAGAGGGAAACAACCCAGACCGCCAGCUAAGGUCCCAAAGUCAUGGUUAAGUGGGAAACGAUGUGGGAAGGCCCAGACAGCCAGGAUGUUGGCUUAGAAGCAGCCAUCAUUUAAAGAAAGCGUAAUAGCUCACUGGUCGAGUCGGCCUGCGCGGAAGAUGUAACGGGGCUAAACCAUGCACCGAAGCUGCGGCAGCGACGCUUAUGCGUUGUUGGGUAGGGGAGCGUUCUGUAAGCCUGCGAAGGUGUACUGUGAGGUAUGCUGGAGGUAUCAGAAGUGCGAAUGCUGACAUAAGUAACGAUAAAGCGGGUGAAAAGCCCGCUCGCCGGAAGACCAAGGGUUCCUGUCCAACGUUAAUCGGGGCAGGGUGAGUCGACCCCUAAGGCGAGGCCGAAAGGCGUAGUCGAUGGGAAACAGGUUAAUAUUCCUGUACUUGGUGUUACUGCGAAGGGGGGACGGAGAAGGCUAUGUUGGCCGGGCGACGGUUGUCCCGGUUUAAGCGUGUAGGCUGGUUUUCCAGGCAAAUCCGGAAAAUCAAGGCUGAGGCGUGAUGACGAGGCACUACGGUGCUGAAGCAACAAAUGCCCUGCUUCCAGGAAAAGCCUCUAAGCAUCAGGUAACAUCAAAUCGUACCCCAAACCGACACAGGUGGUCAGGUAGAGAAUACCAAGGCGCUUGAGAGAACUCGGGUGAAGGAACUAGGCAAAAUGGUGCCGUAACUUCGGGAGAAGGCACGCUGAUACGUAGGUGAAGUCCCUUGCGGAUGGAGCUGAAAUCAGUCGAAGAUACCAGCUGGCUGCAACUGUUUAUUAAAAACACAGCACUGUGCAAACACGAAAGUGGACGUAUACGGUGUGACGCCUGCCCGGUGCCGGAAGGUUAAUUGAUGGGGUUAGCGGUAACGCGAAGCUCUUGAUCGAAGCCCCGGUAAACGGCGGCCGUAACUAUAACGGUCCUAAGGUAGCGAAAUUCCUUGUCGGGUAAGUUCCGACCUGCACGAAUGGCGUAAUGAUGGCCAGGCUGUCUCCACCCGAGACUCAGUGAAAUUGAACUCGCUGUGAAGAUGCAGUGUACCCGCGGCAAGACGGAAAGACCCCGUGAACCUUUACUAUAGCUUGACACUGAACAUUGAGCCUUGAUGUGUAGGAUAGGUGGGAGGCUUUGAAGUGUGGACGCCAGUCUGCAUGGAGCCGACCUUGAAAUACCACCCUUUAAUGUUUGAUGUUCUAACGUUGGCCCCUAAUCGGGGUUGCGGACAGUGUCUGGUGGGUAGUUUGACUGGGGCGGUCUCCUCCUAAAGAGUAACGGAGGAGCACGAAGGUUGGCUAAUCCUGGUCGGACAUCAGGAGGUUAGUGCAAUGGCAUAAGCCAGCUUGACUGCGAGCGUGACGGCGCGAGCAGGUGCGAAAGCAGGUCAUAGUGAUCCGGUGGUUCUGAAUGGAAGGGCCAUCGCUCAACGGAUAAAAGGUACUCCGGGGAUAACAGGCUGAUACCGCCCAAGAGUUCAUAUCGACGGCGGUGUUUGGCACCUCGAUGUCGGCUCAUCACAUCCUGGGGCUGAAGUAGGUCCCAAGGGUAUGGCUGUUCGCCAUUUAAAGUGGUACGCGAGCUGGGUUUAGAACGUCGUGAGACAGUUCGGUCCCUAUCUGCCGUGGGCGCUGGAGAACUGAGGGGGGCUGCUCCUAGUACGAGAGGACCGGAGUGGACGCAUCACUGGUGUUCGGGUUGUCAUGCCAAUGGCACUGCCCGGUAGCUAAAUGCGGAAGAGAUAAGUGCUGAAAGCAUCUAAGCACGAAACUUGCCCCGAGAUGAGUUCUCCCUGACUCCUUGA
This 2788-nucleotide ribosomal RNA is filed under the name Escherichia coli. Its description in RNAcentral is "bacterial LSU rRNA". It matches the Rfam family "Bacterial large subunit ribosomal RNA". Lineage: Bacteria; Pseudomonadati; Pseudomonadota; Gammaproteobacteria; Enterobacterales; Enterobacteriaceae. The record is from RNAcentral.